RNAcentral lists this ribosomal RNA (1087 nucleotides) under Erythrophyllopsis andina. RNAcentral describes it as "eukaryotic LSU rRNA". It matches the Rfam family "Eukaryotic large subunit ribosomal RNA", at positions 47 to 1134 of the family's 3401-position model. Lineage: Eukaryota; Viridiplantae; Streptophyta; Bryopsida; Pottiales; Pottiaceae. The record is from RNAcentral.
UAAGCGGAGGAGAAGAAACUAACCAGGAUUUCCCUAGUAAUGGCGAACGAACCGGAAAGAGCCCAGCUUGAAAAUCCCGGCGCUUCGCGCCGGGAGUUGUAGUCUGGAGACGCAUCCUCUGCAACGCACCGGACCCAAGUUCCCUGGAAAGGGACGUCAGAGAGGGUGACAACCCCGUCGAGUCUGGACCGUGUUGCUCCACGAGGUGUGGUCGUCGAGUCGGGCUGUUUGGGAAUGCAGCCCUAAGUGGGUGGUAAAUUCCAUCCAAGGCUAAAUAUUGGCAAGAGACCGAUAGCGAACAAGUACCGCGAGGGAAAGAUGAAAAGGACUUUGAAAAGAGAGUUAAAAAGUGCUUGAAAUUGCUGGGAGGGAAGCGAAUGGAAGCUGCGGGUGUGCCCCGGUUGGAUGUGGAACGGCUUCGGCUGGUCCGCCGCUCAACGCGGGGCACUGGUCAGCGUGGGCCAUCGCGGCGGGACAAGAGCGGGAUGUAGUUUCCCGCCUAUGCCGUUGCGGUGGCCGAGGAACGAAGCGCGCGGGGCUCGCCCCCGUGGGAUCCGUCCCAACUGCGCGCUCGGGACGCUGGCGUAUUGAGCUCUUCAUCCGACCCGUCUUGAAACACGGACCAAGGAGUCUAACAUGUAUGCGAGCCGGUGGGCGGCAAACCCAUUGAGGCGCAAGGAAACUGACAGGUGGGACCCCGCAAGGGAGCACCAUCGACCGACCGUGAUCUUCUGUGAAAGGUUCGAGUGUGAGCAUACCUGUUGGGACCCGAAAGAUGGUGAACUAUGCCUGAGCAGGGCGAAGCCAGAGGAAACUCUGGUGGAGGCUCGUAGCGAUACUGACGUGCAAAUCGUUCGUCAGACUUGGGUAUAGGGGCGAAAGACUAAUCGAACCAUCUAGUAGCUGGUUCCCUCCGAAGUUUCCCUCAGGAUAGCUGGAGCUCAUGUAAGAGUUUUAUCAGGUAAAGCGAAUGAUUAGAGGCAUCGGGGGUGUAACACCCUCGACCUAUUCUCAAACUUUAAAUAGGUAAGCCGCCGGGGUUGCUUGGUUGAACCCCGGCACAGAAUGAGAGCUCCAAGUGGGCCAU